GAUGAAGAACGCAGCGAAAUGCGAUAAGUAAUGUGAAUUGCAGAAUUCAGUGAAUCAUCGAAUCUUUGAACGCACAUUGCGCCCCCUGGUAUUCCGGGGGGCAUGCCUGUUCGAGCGUCAUUACAACCCUCAAGCUCUGCUUGGUGUUGGGCCCCGCCGCCCCGGCGGGCCCUAAAAUUAGUGGCGGUGCCGUCCGGCUCCGAGCGUAGUAAUUCUUCUCGCUCUGGAGGUCCGGGUGUGUGCUCGCCAGCAACCCCCAAUUUUUUUCAGGUUGACCUCGGAUCAGGUAGGGAUACCCGCUGAACUUAAGCAUAUCAAUAAGCGGAGGA
Molecule: unclassified non-coding RNA, 329 nt
Filed under: soil metagenome
Description: partial contains 5.8S ribosomal RNA, internal transcribed spacer 2, and large subunit ribosomal RNA
Rfam family: 5.8S ribosomal RNA (bases 1-120)
Source: RNAcentral